This 253-nucleotide ribosomal RNA is filed under the name uncultured bacterium. Its description in RNAcentral is "partial 16S ribosomal RNA". It matches the Rfam family "Bacterial small subunit ribosomal RNA", at positions 524 to 776 of the family's 1533-position model. The record is from RNAcentral.
UACGGAGGAUGCAAGCGUUAUCCGGAAUUAUUGGGCGUAAAGCGUCCGCAGGUGGUCAAACAAGUCUGCCGUCAAAGACCAGAGCUUAACUCUGGAAAGGCGGUGGAAACUGUAAGACUAGAGACCGGUAGGGGUAGAGGGAAUUCCCAGUGUAGCGGUGAAAUGCGUAGAGAUUGGGAAGAACACCAGUGGCGAAGGCGCUCUACUGGGCCGGUACUGACACUCAGGGACGAAAGCUAGGGGAGCGAAAGGG